UACAUGUGGGGCAAACGUUGUUCGGAAUCACUGGGCAUAAAGGGCGUGUAGGCGGCCGGACAAGUUGUGGUUGAAAUCCCCCGGCUCAACCGGGGAACAGGCUGCAAAACUGUCUGGCUGGAGGAUGGCAGGGGAGUGUGGAACGAUCGGUGGAGCGGUGAAAUGCGUAGAUAUCGGUCGGAACACCGGUGGCGAAGGCGACACUCUGGGCCAUACCUGACGCUGAGGCGCGAAAGCGUGGGGAGCAAACAGG
RNAcentral lists this ribosomal RNA (253 nucleotides) under uncultured bacterium. RNAcentral describes it as "partial 16S ribosomal RNA". It matches the Rfam family "Bacterial small subunit ribosomal RNA", at positions 524 to 776 of the family's 1533-position model. The record is from RNAcentral.